RNAcentral lists this transfer RNA (90 nucleotides) under Laccaria bicolor S238N-H82. It matches the Rfam family "tRNA". Rfam says of the family: Transfer RNA (tRNA) molecules are approximately 80 nucleotides in length. Their secondary structure includes four short double-helical elements and three loops (D, anti-codon, and T loops). The record is from Rfam by way of RNAcentral. Lineage: Eukaryota; Fungi; Basidiomycota; Agaricomycetes; Agaricales; Hydnangiaceae.
UCGAGUAUGGUGUAACGGUUAACAUUGCCGCCUUUCAAAACAUGGUUCGCAUAUACGCGGCAGCUCGGGGUUCGAUUCCCCGUACUCGAA